This 301-nucleotide ribosomal RNA is filed under the name uncultured bacterium. RNAcentral describes it as "partial 16S ribosomal RNA". It matches the Rfam family "Bacterial small subunit ribosomal RNA", at positions 509 to 807 of the family's 1533-position model. The record is from RNAcentral.
CAGCCGCCGCGGGAAUACGGAGGGUGCAAGCGUUAAUCGGAAUUACUGGGCGUAAAGCGCACGCAGGCGGUCUGACAAGUCAGAUGUGAAAUCCCCGGGCUUAACCUGGGAACUGAAUUUGAAACUGUCAGGCUGGAGUCUUGUAGAGGGGGGUGGAAUUCCAGGUGUAGCGGUGAAAUGCGUAGAGAUCUGGAGGAAUACCGGUGGCGAAGGCGGCCCCCUGGACAAAGACUGACGCUCAGGUGCGAAAGCGUGGGGAGCAAACAGGAUUAGAGACCCCUGUAGUCCCUGUCUCUUAUAC